This 555-nucleotide ribosomal RNA is filed under the name Triticum aestivum (bread wheat). RNAcentral's name for it is "partial small subunit ribosomal RNA". The record is from RNAcentral. Lineage: Eukaryota; Viridiplantae; Streptophyta; Magnoliopsida; Poales; Poaceae.
AUGCCCGCAAAAGAUUUGGAGGAAAUUAAGAAGCAGAUCAAGGAGUUACUGGAUAAAGGCUAUAUUCGCCCAAGUUCGUCACCUUGGGGAUCACCAGUACUUCUAGUGGAGAAGAAAGAUGGAUCACUGAGGAUGGUUGUUGAUUACCGUGGAUUGAAUGAAGUGACCAUCAAAAACAAGUACCCACUGCCGAUGAUCAAUGAUUUGUUUGACCGCCUACAAGGAGCUAAAGUAUUUUCCAAGAUCGAUCUACGAUCGGGAUACCAUCAGUUAAAGAUUCGAGAGCAGGAUAUACCUAAGACGGCUUUUACCACCAGAUAUGGAUUGUAUGAGUAUACCGUUAUGUCAUUUGGUCUGACUAACGCACCUGCCUAUUUCAUGAACCUGAUGAACAAGGUGUUUAUGGAGUUUUUGGAUAAGUUCGUCGUGGUGUUCAUUGAUGAUAUUUUAGUCUUUUCCAAGAAUGAGGAAGAGCAUGAGGAGCAUUUACGAUUGGUACUUGAGAAGCUCAGAGAACAUCAGUUAUAUGCCAAGUUCAGCAAAUGCGAAUUUUGG